CCACCCUCACCAGAAACACCCCGAAACCCUAGCUAAGCCGCCCCAAAUCCCCGGCCUCCGGUGGCGGUGCCACCUCCAAACGCCACCAAAAUCACACCCUAUAGCCUCCUCACCCCCCCUCUUUCCAAAUCCAUAUGCCAUUACCCUCGAAUGUUGCCCCAGUUCCUCGAAUCUUAGAUCAGAAAUGAACCCUAGAAAUCCAAGGUCAAGUUUUGGCAAAAUUUCGUGUCGAAUCCGAUUAACAUUUUUAUUUCGUGAGCACACGAAAUAAAAAUUUCGUGAGCACACGAAAUAAAAAUUUCGUGAGCACACGAAAUAAAAAUUUCGUGAGCACACGAUUAACAUCAGAUUUGGCCGGAAAAUCCGAGGAUCUGAAGACUCAGGGUCCCUUUUUAUUUUUCGAACUUUUCUCAGGUAUUUUUUCUUUCUUUCUUUUGGUUUAAUCUGUCUCUCGUCUGUUUUUAAAUUUUUUGUUUCUUCUCCUCUUCUCGAAUCAUUCCUCAUUGGUUCCGGAAUCUAUUCAUUCAUGCAUGAGUAAUCGGAGUCUUGUUAGGUUAGUUUUAAAAUUGUUAGUUUGGUUAAGUUUAGUUAGUAAACCAUUUAGGCUAAAGUUUAAUUGUUCUGUGUUAUUUGGUAAUCAGAUAACUGCUAGUUGGGCCGAAUAGAUCUUUGAUAUUGAGGGUUGGGUUUUGGGUCUAUUCCGGUUCAUUUGGGGUUAAACAGUUGGGCCAAAUUGACCCAUGACCCAUUCGGUCUGUCUAAGUAUCAACAGGGGUUCUGCUAGAUUGGUUUCCUAGAGUAAAUAAUCAGGGUUCGAGGGGUAGUUUAGGUAAUUGGCUUAAGGGAAUCUUGCUAUAACAGACUAGGAAGCUUCUAGGAAGCUGGGGAAGGGGUUGGUUCUGAUUUUCUAUUUUUUUAUAAUGGUAUCUGAGCUAUAAUGAAAAUUGAAAAUGGGGCAAAGUGCAAACCAAGUCUGCCCUUAUAGCUUGCCUAUAAAGGUAGCUUUUCUUGCCUUUCAAGGCUAACCCAAGGGCUAAAAAGAAGAAAAGCUCAGAAAAAUACAAAAAUUGGCAGGAAUUUUACUGUUUCAUUGAGUUUUUCUGUUAAUUCCUGCAAUUUUCCUGGUGGUGCAACAAGUUCUGACUGGCUGACCUUAGAAAUAAACUAAAAUCAGCUUGGCUAAAGUUCUGUUUGGUCCAUUGUUUGGGUUGAAUUAGUUUCUGGCCGUUUACUUCAAUUUCUGGGUUUGAAAUUUAAUUUUAGAGCAGCUGGUUGGUUUUGUUGAUUGGGUUUGGCUGUUGACCCUUGCUCUUGCUACUGCUCUUUGCUGAUCUUAUUACCUCUCUCUUGUUUGUGCUCUCAGGUAUUUCCUUAUGCCCUUUGCUAACAAAUGAAGUGCCACAAGUUGGAACCAGACUGAAUUUUUAUGCAGAUUUGGAUGUUCGAAUUGGAAUUCGAAUAGAAACCUUGUUUAGAUGUUAGAUUCUAUUAGCUUCUGCUGUCUAUACCUUUGUGUUCUUGUCAUAAUUCAUGUGUUAUGCUAUGUAUGUAUAGUUUGCUUGAUUUUAACUGUAGCCAAUUGAUUUUCCGUACAGUUUACGCCUCAGUUUAAGAGGGAUUAUUAUUGAUUACUGUAUAAGGUUCUUAUCCAUGCCCC
Molecule: long non-coding RNA, 1657 nt
Filed under: Nicotiana tabacum (common tobacco)
Lineage: Eukaryota; Viridiplantae; Streptophyta; Magnoliopsida; Solanales; Solanaceae
Description: long non-coding RNA (NTAB_LNC000088)
Source: RNAcentral